This is a long non-coding RNA of Erinaceus europaeus (western European hedgehog), 440 nucleotides long. RefSeq lists it as uncharacterized. Lineage: Eukaryota; Metazoa; Chordata; Mammalia; Eulipotyphla; Erinaceidae. The transcript has 4 exons. The record is from RefSeq and is a predicted model, not a curated record.
GAGGUGACAGGCCAGGUGAGGGCGGAGGUGACAGGCCAGGUGAGGGCAGGUGACAGGCCAGGUGAGGACGGAGGUGACAGGCCAGGUGAGGGCGGAGGUGACAGGCCAGGUGAGGACGGAGGUGACAGGCCAGGUGAGGGCGGAGGUCCCCACCCCAAGUCUCUGCCCGGGUCACUGCCCGUCGGCCACGCCAAAGAGGCGGGAUAGUCACUGAGGCGGCGCGUCCCACGGGGCGGAGGGAGCGUCGGGCCGGGGCCGCCGGAACGUGCUCGGGGAGCCGCCCGGGAGCGCCCACGCCGGCCCAGUCCGUCCGCUGCACAGUUUCCGGGAUACGCGCGUCAGGCGCACUGACGUCAUGGACAAGCGCCCGACGUCACGGACCCUCGCCGGCAGGCCCCGCCCUCGACCACGCCCUCCUCCGAGGCCCCGCCCACCACAGG